This 402-nucleotide ribosomal RNA is filed under the name uncultured bacterium. Its description in RNAcentral is "bacterial SSU rRNA". It matches the Rfam family "Bacterial small subunit ribosomal RNA", at positions 355 to 747 of the family's 1533-position model. The record is from RNAcentral.
UGGGGAAUUUUGGACAAUGGGCGCAAGCCUGAUCCAGCAAUGCCGCGUGCGGGAAGAAGGCCUUCGGGUUGUAAACCGCUUUUGUCAGGGAAGAAAUCUCUUGAGCUAAUACCUCGGGGGGGAUGACGGUACCUGAAGAAUAAGCACCGGCUAACUACGUGCCAGCAGCCGCGGUAAUACGUAGGGUGCGAGCGUUAAUCGGAAUUACUGGGCGUAAAGCGUGCGCAGGCGGUUGUGCAAGACAGAUGUGAAAUCCCCGGGCUCAACCUGGGAACCGCAUUUGUGACUGCACGGCUAGAGUGCGGCAGAGGGGGAUGGAAUUCCGCGUGUAGCAGUGAAAUGCGUAGAUAUGCGGAGGAACACCGAUGGCGAAGGCAAUCCCCGUGGGCCUGCACUGACGCU